GAUGAACGCUAGCUACAGGCUUAACACAUGCAAGUCGAGGGGUAGCAGGGUAGCAAUACCGCUGACGACCGGCGCACGGGUGAGUAACACGUAUCCAACCUUCCCAUAACUCGGGGAUAGCCUUUCGAAAGAAAGAUUAAUACCCGAUAGUACUUCUCCAAGGCAUCUUGAGAAAGUUAAAGAUUUAUUGGUUAUGGAUGGGGAUGCGUUCCAUUAGAUAGUUGGUGAGGUAACGGCUCACCAAGUCUUCGAUGGAUAGGGGUUCUGAGAGGAAGGUCCCCCACAUUGGUACUGAGACACGGACCAAACUCCUACGGGAGGCAGCAGUGAGGAAUAUUGGUCAAUGGGCGAGAGCCUGAACCAGCCAAGUAGCGUGAAGGAUGAAGGUCCUAUGGAUUUUAAACUUCUUUUAUAGUAGAAUAAAGUGACCUACGUGUAGGUUUUUGUAUGUAUACUAUGAAUAAGGAUCGGCUAACUCCGUGCCAGCCGCCGCCGUAA
Molecule: ribosomal RNA, 498 nt
Filed under: uncultured bacterium
Lineage: Bacteria
Description: partial 16S ribosomal RNA
Rfam family: Bacterial small subunit ribosomal RNA
Source: RNAcentral